This 462-nucleotide ribosomal RNA is filed under the name Triticum aestivum (bread wheat). RNAcentral's name for it is "partial small subunit ribosomal RNA". Lineage: Eukaryota; Viridiplantae; Streptophyta; Magnoliopsida; Poales; Poaceae. The record is from RNAcentral.
AUGGUGUCCACGAACCAAAGUGCGUUCAUCGCCGGAAGGAGUGCGCAUGAUAACUUUCUUCUCGUCCAACAAACGGCCCGGCUCCUCCACAACCUCAAGGCACCGCGCGUUCUUCUUAAAUUGGACAUCGCCAAGGCAUUCGACACCGUGGCGUGGCCAUUCCUCCUCGAGACGCUUCGACACUUGGGGUUUGGCAUGCGUUGGUGUGAGUGGAUUUCGAUCCUCCUCUCCACAGCUUCGACUCGUGUUCUCCUCAACGGCACCCCCGGACCGCCGAUUGCUCAUGCCCAAGGGCUGCGCCAGGGUGACCUGGUGUCCCCCAUGCUGUUCACCCUGGUGAUUGACAAGCUUAACUCGCUCCUCGAGCAUGCCACAAACCAAGGGAUCCUCCAGCGGCUGACCACGCGCCACGCCGCGUCCAGCAUAUCCAUGUUCGCCGACGACUUGGUCAUCUUUUGCCAC